RNAcentral lists this ribosomal RNA (460 nucleotides) under uncultured bacterium. RNAcentral's name for it is "partial 16S ribosomal RNA". It matches the Rfam family "Bacterial small subunit ribosomal RNA", at positions 338 to 795 of the family's 1533-position model. The record is from RNAcentral.
CCUACGGGUGGCUGCAGUGAGGAAUAUUGGUCAAUGGACGAGAGUCUGAACCAGCCAAGUAGCGUGAAGGAUGACUGCCCAGUGGGUUGUAAACUUCUUUUAUCUGGGAAUAAAACGUUCCACGUGUGGGAUUUUGUAUGUACCUUAUGAAUAAGGAUCGGCUAACUCCGUGCCAGCAGCCGCGGUAAUACGGAGGAUCCGAGCGUUCUCCGGAUUUAUUGGGUUUAAAGGGAGCGUAGGCGGGUUGUUAAGUCAGUUGUGAAAGUUUGGGGCUCAACCGUAAAAGUGCAGUUGAAACUGGCAGGCUGUAGUAGAGUAGAGGUGGGCGGAAUUCGUGGUGUAGCGGUGAAAUGCUUAGAUAUCACGAAGAACUCCGAUUGCGAAGGCAGUUCACUGGACUGAAACUGACACUGAGGCUCGAAAGUGUGGGUAUCGAACAGGAUUAGAUACCCCUGUAGUC